AUAAGAGUUGGUUUUUCAUCAAUUCAUUACUUACUCAGUUAGGUCUUUCUUUCUGAAGAUGUUGAAAUUGAUGAAAUCAAUUGGUAUAUUAUAAACUUACAAUGCAUAACUCUACAUUGUCUUGAAGUCCAUUCUCGUUACAAUGCCAUAAACAGUUGCAUUAUUUCUGUGAAUUUUGAGGUACUCUCUUACUCUGUCUUAUCAGUUUCUAUAUGACAAAUAACAA
RNAcentral lists this unclassified non-coding RNA (226 nucleotides) under Hevea brasiliensis (rubber tree). The record is from RNAcentral. Lineage: Eukaryota; Viridiplantae; Streptophyta; Magnoliopsida; Malpighiales; Euphorbiaceae.